AUUGAACGCUGGCGGCAUGCCUUACACAUGCAAGUCGAACGGCAGCACGGGUGCUUGCACCUGGUGGCGAGUGGCGAACGGGUGAGUAAUACAUCGGAACGUACCUUAUCGUGGGGGAUAACGCAGCGAAAGCUAUGCUAAUACCGCAUACGCCCUGAGGGGGAAAGCGGGGGAUCGAAAGACCUCGCGCGAUUAGAGCGGCCGAUGCCUGAUUAGCUUGUUGGUGGGGUAAAAGCCCACCAAGGCGACGAUCAGUAGCUGGUCUGAGAGGACGAUCAGCCACACGGGGACUGAGACACGGCCCAGACUCCUACGGGAGGCAGCAGUGGGGAAUUUUGGACAAUGGGGGCAACCCUGGUCCAGCAACGCCGCGUGAAUGAAGAAGGCCUUCGGGUUGUAAAGUUCUUUUGUCGCAGAGCAAGUCGUACAGGUGAAUAACUUGUAUGGGUGAGAGUUUGCGAAGAAUAAGCACCGGCUAACUUCGUGCCAGCAGCCGCCGUAA
Molecule: ribosomal RNA, 502 nt
Filed under: uncultured bacterium
Lineage: Bacteria
Description: partial 16S ribosomal RNA
Rfam family: Bacterial small subunit ribosomal RNA
Source: RNAcentral